Mesocricetus auratus (golden hamster) is the source of this 164-nucleotide small nuclear RNA. Its record names the gene U1. It matches the Rfam family "U1 spliceosomal RNA". Rfam says of the family: U1 is a small nuclear RNA (snRNA) component of the spliceosome (involved in pre-mRNA splicing). NCBI's taxonomy places the organism in Eukaryota, Metazoa, Chordata, Mammalia, Rodentia, Cricetidae. The record is from Ensembl.
AUACUUACCUGGCAGGAGAGAUACCAUGAUCUCAAAGCUGGUUUUCCCUGGGUGAGACUUAUCCACUGCAGUACAGAUGUGCUGAAUCCUGAGAUUUCCCCAAAUGUGGGAAAUUCAACUGCAUAAUUUGUGGUAGUGGGGGACUGCGUUGGAGCUCUCUCAAA